UACGUAGGGUGCAAGCGUUGUCCGGAAUUAUUGGGCGUAAAGAGCUCGUAGGCGGUCUGUCGCGUCUGCUGUGAAAACUCAGGGCUUAACCCUGAGCUUGCAGUGGGUACGGGCAGACUAGAGUGCGGUAGGGGAGACUGGAAUUCCUGGUGUAGCGGUGAAAUGCGCAGAUAUCAGGAGGAACACCGGUGGCGAAGGCGGCUUGCUGGGCCUUACCUGACGCUGAGGAGCGAAAGCGUGGGGAGCGAACAGG
RNAcentral lists this ribosomal RNA (253 nucleotides) under uncultured bacterium. RNAcentral's name for it is "partial 16S ribosomal RNA". It matches the Rfam family "Bacterial small subunit ribosomal RNA", at positions 524 to 776 of the family's 1533-position model. The record is from RNAcentral.